RNAcentral lists this ribosomal RNA (253 nucleotides) under uncultured bacterium. RNAcentral describes it as "partial 16S ribosomal RNA". It matches the Rfam family "Bacterial small subunit ribosomal RNA", at positions 524 to 776 of the family's 1533-position model. The record is from RNAcentral.
UACGUAGGGUGCAAGCGUUGUCCGGAAUUAUUGGGCGUAAAGAGCUUGUAGGCGGUUUGUCGCGUCUGCUGUGAAAUUUCGGGGCUCAACCCCGAACUUGCAGUGGGUACGGGCAGACUAGAGUGUGGUAGGGGAGACUGGAAUUCCUGGUGUAGCGGUGAAAUGCGCAGAUAUCAGGAGGAACACCGAUGGCGAAGGCAGGUCUCUGGGCCACUACUGACGCUGAGAAGCGAAAGCAUGGGUAGCAAACAGG